Molecule: ribosomal RNA, 253 nt
Filed under: uncultured bacterium
Lineage: Bacteria
Description: partial 16S ribosomal RNA
Rfam family: Bacterial small subunit ribosomal RNA
Source: RNAcentral
UACGGAGGGUGCAAGCGUUGUCCGGAUUUAUUGGGUUUAAAGGGUGCGUAGGCGGCCCGUUAAGUCAGCGGUGAAAGCCCGGGGCUCAACCCCGGAACUGCCGUUGAUACUGGCGGGCUUGAGUUCGGUGAAGGCGGGCGGAACUGGCGGUGUAGCGGUGAAAUGCUUAGAUACCGCCAAGAACCCCGAUUGCGUAGGCAGCUCGCUGUGCCGAAACUGACGCUGAGGCACGAAAGCGUGGGGAGCGAACAGG